Molecule: ribosomal RNA, 245 nt
Filed under: uncultured archaeon
Lineage: Archaea
Description: partial 16S ribosomal RNA
Rfam family: Archaeal small subunit ribosomal RNA
Source: RNAcentral
UACUAGCGGUCCAAGUCGCAGCCAUCAUUAUUGGGUCUAAAAUAUCCGUAGCUUGCUUAAUAAGUUCCUUGUGAAAUCUUAUAUCUUAAGUAUAAGGCGUGCAGGGAAUACUGCUAAGCUAGAGACUGGAAGACGUAAGAAGUAUGUUCAAAGUAGCGGUAAAAUGUGUUAAUCUUGAGCAGACUCACAAUAGCGAAGGCAUCUUACGAGGACAGUUCUGACAGUAAAGGAUGAAGGCUAGGGGC